UUGAAAGGGAAACGAUUGAAGUCAGUCGUACCGACGAGAAAUCAGCUUUUCGAAUGUGCAUUUGUGCGUAUGAGAUCUUCACUGUUUGCAAUAUGUAUGUUUCUUUGGUGUACUUUUUCGUAUGGUAGGUCAACGUCGGUUUUGGUCGCCAUAAAAUGAUCGGAGGAAUGUAGCUUCGACCUCGGUUGAAGUGUUAUAGCCUUUGGUAAAUGUGGUGAUUAGGACCGAGGAUUGCAACGAAUACCUUUUAGGCUAUCCGUCUGACCUCUGAAAGUUACUUAGGUGCCGAAAGCUUGCUUACGGUCAUUUAAGUUGACGGUCAAUAGGUUAGAACGUGAUUACAUUCGUUAAGGAUGUUGACGUA
This 364-nucleotide ribosomal RNA is filed under the name uncultured Glomeromycotina. RNAcentral's name for it is "LSU rRNA". The record is from RNAcentral. Lineage: Eukaryota; Fungi; Glomeromycota.